Neolamprologus brichardi is the source of this 490-nucleotide non-coding RNA. NCBI's taxonomy places the organism in Eukaryota, Metazoa, Chordata, Actinopteri, Cichliformes, Cichlidae. The record is from RefSeq and is a predicted model, not a curated record.
CUGAACCCUGGACUUCUACAAAUAAAUAGUACCUUUGUCUCAUUGGCACAUUUCUACACAAGUGGGGGGGUUUUUGUCUUCUGUGGUAAGGCAUUGCAUGUAGUUAGUAUUUUACCCGUGGUUUAACAUUUGUGCACACAAAACAGGAACUCCUCUUAAGAAGGAGUUACUACACAGCUUUGGUGUUUAAAAUACCGAGCUUUUUUUGUCCUGUUCAUGGUAGAAAAGUGAGAGAAGAUUUUCCAACAUGCAGGCUGCAGGUGACUUUCUAAAUGUAUUCAACACUGAGGCCAGCAAGAUAUCGGUGACACUCAGCCUCUUCCUCAUUUUUCUUGGUCUCCUCUACUGGUGAGUAAAUAAAUGUUUGAUGGCUUAUUUGUGAUGUUCAUUGUUCAGUAGAAAUGAGGUCACUUAUAUAAUUGCGUAUCAUAAGGCACUCACACUUACAUAUAAAGCAGACAGUGCAAACGAAUGCAACAAUAACUCUAGA